CCUACGGGGGGCUGCAGUGGGGAAUAUUGGGCAAUGGGCGCAAGCCUGACCCAGCAACGCCGCGUGAAGGAAGAAGGCUUUCGGGUUGUAAACUUCUUUGACGGGGGACGAAAGAAAUGACGGUACCCCGAAAACAAGCCACGGCUAACUACGUGCCAGCAGCCGCGGUAAUACGUAGGUGGCAAGCGUUGUCCGGAUUUACUGGGUGUAAAGGGCGCGUAGGCGGGAUUGCAAGUCAGGCGUGAAAAUUAUGGGCUCAACCCAUAACCUGCGUUUGAAACUGUAGUUCUUGAGUAUCGGAGAGGCAGGCGGAAUUCCUAGUGUAGCGGUGAAAUGCGUAGAUAUUAGGAGGAACACCAGUGGCGAAGGCGGCCUGCUGGACGACAACUGACGCUGAGGCGCGAAAGCGUGGGGAGCAAACAGGAUUAGAUACCCCUGUAGUC
This 443-nucleotide ribosomal RNA is filed under the name uncultured Oscillospiraceae bacterium. RNAcentral describes it as "bacterial SSU rRNA". It matches the Rfam family "Bacterial small subunit ribosomal RNA", at positions 338 to 795 of the family's 1533-position model. Lineage: Bacteria; Bacillati; Bacillota; Clostridia; Eubacteriales; Oscillospiraceae. The record is from RNAcentral.